RNAcentral lists this long non-coding RNA (2705 nucleotides) under Equus caballus (horse). Its description in RNAcentral is "lncRNA (ENSECAG00000053936.1)". Lineage: Eukaryota; Metazoa; Chordata; Mammalia; Perissodactyla; Equidae. The record is from RNAcentral.
AUAAAAUGUCCGUAAAUAGUUACUAGGAGAUUCUCCGAUGCCCUUUUUCCUAAUUUCUAGUCUCUCUCUCCCUGUAAGUAUGUUUCUGUAUCUCCUACUCUCUUCCAUUUCUUUCCUUCUUUACUAGUCCCCCCUUAUGAAAGGAAAUGGACUGCAUCUGAAAAAAUUUUUAAAUAUUUGUUGUCUACUUAAAUAAUUAGGGAAAGUGAGGGAAGUGGACUGGCAAGACAAAAGAAAAGCAUUAAUUAUAAUUGCCCCUGUCUUCGCUUGAACAGCCUUCUAAAAAAUAUCUCCUCACUGACCUGCUGUGAAAGGAAUGAAGGCAGCUGAUGGUGUGAUUCGACAGUGGACUGGAAGUUCAAGGUUGCAACAGUGACUCUCCUGAAACACCACAUAUUCUGUUCUUCUCCUCUACUGUGGUGAAAAAUAGUAGUUAAGAAUUUGAGCUGUGUAAUCAAAAUGCCAGCUUCACAGCACACUAGUUAUAUAAUCUUAUGCAAGAGGUUUAACUUCCUAAGACCUCAGUUUCUCCUUUUUACAAAGGGAACAGUAAUGGUAUCUGCUUUAUAAGGUACCGUAAAUGUGUGAAAAACCCCAGCACAGAUCAUAGAGCCACCUACUCAACCUGAAGCUGACUACAGAUGCAUAAAUGAACUACAACCCAGCUGAUACAUAGAGUAAAAGACAACAGCAAAAUAUUGUUUCAUGACACUGAGAUUGUGUGUUUAUUUGUUACACAAAAAUAGCUAACAGAUGCAGGAAUUCAUAAUGAGAGCUAUGAUUAUCAUUGGUCUCAAGAAAUUUAAGUUGGGAUCUUUCACAUGUUUUGGGUUCAGCUGGCUAUGAUGUAAUCUAAUAUGAUCUUGGUUGGGAGAACAGUGCUCUCUUCCUGGUAGUCUGUCAUGCAGCAUGCUAAUCUGGGCUUGUUCUCAUGACAGAGGUUUCUAACAGAGCAAAUGGAAGUCAACAAUGCCUCCUGAGGCACAAGCUCAGAACUGGCACUCUGUUCGUGUCUACCAUGUUCUAUUAGCCAAAGUGACUCAUAAGGACUGCCCAGAGUCAGAAUGAAAAGGGAAAAUGAAGAACAUAUUCUGAGUCAGAAAGUUAUAGAAAAUGGUGAUUCAGAGAUACAUACUGACAGUCAUGACAUGGCAUGUUAAGGAGCUCAGAUUAAAGGCCUCAAGCAAUCAGUUGAAGUCUCCAUAAGAUGUAUAAGUAGAAAGAUCCAAUAGGCUGUCUGGACAAAAUGAAAAUCAAGAGACAAGUCAGUUUGGAGAUCUAGAUUUGUUGAACAAAAGUGUGUAAGUGUUAGCUGAAAUCAGGAGUGUAGAUGAGAUUACCCAAGUAAAGCAUGUGACAAGAUUAGAAGAGCCAAGAAUAGAACCAAGGUUUAGAUUGACUUUGAAAGAUAGAAAGUUAUUAUAGAAGAGAUUAUAAAGUGGACCAAAAAGGAAGAUUAGAGAAGUAAGAAGAUAAUCAAGAAAUCAUGACAUGAUGGAAGUCAAAGAAGCAGAAAUAUCAGGGAAAAGAAAGUGGGAUUGCUCUGGAAAAAUAUGAUUUGAAAAAAGGUCUUUAAAUCCCAUGCCCUUCCAUUCCAACUUGAAAUUAUAAGAGAAAUUUGAAACAGCAAAAGUCUGUCAUUAGAGCUAGAACUAAGGCAAGAACACCUAUAUAUUUGACAAACUCUAAGGAAUGCCUUAAGACAUAGGUUUCAUGACAAGUGGGGCCCUGACUCUCUUAUUCAACUUUGUAUCCACCAAUCUCGGAACCUAGAAUGUAACUAAUACACAAUUUGUUGAAAGAAAUAAAAACAAAGAAGGAAGGAAAGGAACCACGAAUGAAAUCAGACUGGAAAUGAUUCUGAGCAACAAUAAUUAAUGUCCCUGCCUGAGAAAAUAUUGUGAUGUUGCAUGAAAUCAACAGAAGAUACCUGUCUGAAUGACACUAACACCUAUAAUUUUGAGGUGUGGAAAAACAUAAGGUGAUCAGCUCAUGGAAACUUCCAGUAGGAAUUCUUUUCUCUGAUGUAGCCAGAAGCAUUGUUAACAGUAGAUGUGAGAGACUAUAUCCAACUGAAUGUUAACGGUAGCAAAAUAUCUUCCUGAUGGAGAGUGAAUUUUCAAUGACACGGUAUAAAAUUGCAUCAAUAAGAAUUGAUUCUGCUUAAAAGGACAUCCAAAGCUGCUACACACUGUGCAUAUAGGCCCCACAUCUAAAGAAGCACCAUUUAUAUCAAGGUCUCCUAGGUUUAUAUAUUUAUCACACUAGGGUUUUGACAGACGGCAGUGAAGGGUCUCAUAAAUGAGUAAGUACAUUAUGACAAUUUUCUGCUAUCUGGAAGUAAAACAUCUUGAGGAUGAAGCACAUUUUCCUAAUUUGUAGAAAGUCACCAUGUGGACAGGAGGCAGCCAUGGGAACAUCUGCUGCCAUGGGUACCUCAGAAAUCAGUUGUGAAAGUGAGUAAAGCAGAGUGAUACAAAUCUGGUGUACAUGCUUUGAGUUUGUUUUGCCUGUUGUGUAAUCAUUUUUUUUUGUAAUAAACCCACUCUUUUCACACUCUUAACCACGAAGUUGAAUCUGUGUCUCCAUCCAAGCUCCAAGAGUAAGCUUAUGGUCAAGGCUAGGAAAAUCAGAGAAUCCUAUUUUUAUGACAACAGUGAUGGUUUCAGGGAGGGGUACUUGACCCAUAUAAAAUGCAAUCUCAG